UGCAUCAGCUCCUGCUGUCUGACCUCCU
Molecule: unclassified non-coding RNA, 28 nt
Filed under: Mus musculus (house mouse)
Lineage: Eukaryota; Metazoa; Chordata; Mammalia; Rodentia; Muridae
Description: oocyte_clustered_small_RNA12115
Source: RNAcentral